AUUGAACGCUGGCGGCAGGCUUAACACAUGCAAGUCGAGCGGGGUGAUGGUGCUUGCACUAUCACUUAGCGGCGGACGGGCGAGUAAUGCUUAGGAAUCUGCCUAUUAGUGGGGGACAACAUCUCGAAAGGGAUGCUAAUACCGCAUACGUCCUACGGGAGAAAGCAGGGGAUCACUUGUGACCUUGCGCUAAUAGAUGAGCCUAAGUCGGAUUAGCUAGUUGGUGGGGUAAAGGCCUACCAAGGCGACGAUCUGUAGCGGGUCUGAGAGGAUGAUGCGCCACCCGGGGACUGAGACACGGCCCAGACUCCUACGGGGGGCAGCAGUGGGGAAUAUUGGACAAUGGGGGGAACCCUGAUCCAGCCAUGCCGCGUGUGUGAAGAAGGCCUUAUGGUUGUAAAGCACUUUAAGCGAGGAGGAGGCUCUUUUGGUUAAUACCCAAGAUGAGUGGACGUUACUCGCAGAAUAAGCACCGGCUAACUCUGUGCCAGCAGCCGCCGUAA
This 503-nucleotide ribosomal RNA is filed under the name uncultured bacterium. RNAcentral's name for it is "partial 16S ribosomal RNA". It matches the Rfam family "Bacterial small subunit ribosomal RNA", at positions 30 to 523 of the family's 1533-position model. The record is from RNAcentral.